CCUACGGGUGGCAGCAGUGAGGAAUAUUGGUCAAUGGGCGCUAGCCUGAACCAGCCAAGUCGCGUGAAGGAUGACUGUCCUAUGGGUUGUAAACUUCUUUUAUAUGGGAAUAAAGUGCAGUAUGUAUACCGCUUUGCAUGUACCUUAUGAAUAAGGAUCGGCUAACUCCGUGCCAGCAGCCGCGGUAAUACGGAGGAUCCGAGCGUUAUCCGGAUUUAUUGGGUUUAAAGGGAGCGUAGGCGGGUUGUUAAGUCAGUUGUGAAAGUUUGCGGCUCAACCGUAAAAUUGCAGUUGAUACUGGCAUCCUUGAGUACAGUAGAGGUAGGCGGAAUUCGUGGUGUAGCGGUGAAAUGCUUAGAUAUCACGAAGAACUCCGAUUGCGAAGGCAGCCUACUGGACUGUAACUGACGCUGAUGCUCGAAAGUGUGGGUAUCAAACAGGAUUAGAUACCCGAGUAGUC
RNAcentral lists this ribosomal RNA (460 nucleotides) under uncultured bacterium. RNAcentral's name for it is "partial 16S ribosomal RNA". It matches the Rfam family "Bacterial small subunit ribosomal RNA", at positions 338 to 795 of the family's 1533-position model. The record is from RNAcentral.